GCAUCUCUCAAUUCCGGCUUUGGUUAUACGUCUACUUUUACGUAGACGUUCGGUACAUUCGUUCCAACUUUAAUUUUUUAUUUGUUUAUUAAUUAAGUUAUUUUUUUUUUUUGUUAUAUUAUCUUUGCUUGUUUUUCAUAAUAUUAAUUAUUUUAAACUUGAACAUGAAUUUGGAAAAAUAUAGUGGUAAAAGACCAAUGUCGAAAAGAAAAAAUAAUAGGGGAGGAGGAAGUAGUUCUAAUUCUAAAAAUUUGCCACCUCC
This 262-nucleotide long non-coding RNA is filed under the name Solanum tuberosum (potato). RNAcentral describes it as "long non-coding RNA (STUB_LNC009107)". Lineage: Eukaryota; Viridiplantae; Streptophyta; Magnoliopsida; Solanales; Solanaceae. The record is from RNAcentral.